GCAGUCGAACGAAGUAGCAAUACUUAGUGGCAGACGGGUGAGUAACAUGUAGGUAUCUACCCUUUGGCCUGGAAUAACACGAGGAAACUUGUGCUAAUACCGGAUAAGUCUUUACGGAGAAAGCUUUAUGCACCAUUGGAUGAGCCUGCACUUGAUUAGUUUGUUGGUGGGGUAAUGGCCUACCAAGACAAUGAUCAAUAGCUGAUUUGAGAGGAUGAUCAGCCACAUUGGGACUGAGACACGGCCCAAACUCCUACGGGAGGCAGCAGUAGGGAAUCUUGCACAAUGGAGGAAACUCUGAUGCAGCGAUGCCGCGUGAGUGAAGAAGGCCUUUGGGUUGUAAAGCUCUUUCGUCGGGGAAGAAAAUGACUGUACCCGAAUAAGAAGGUCCGGCUAACUUCGUGCCAGCAGCCGCGGUAAUACGAAGGGACCUAGCGUAGUUCGGAAUUACUGGGCUUAAAGAGUUCGUAGGUGGUUAAAAAAGUUGGUGGUGAAAUCCCAGAGCUUAACUCUGGAACUGCCAUCAAAACUUUUUAGCUAGAGUAUGAUAGAGGAAAGCAGAAUUUCUAGUGUAGAGGUGAAAUUCGUAGAUAUUAGAAAGAAUACCGAUUGCGAAGGCAGUUUUCUGGAUCAUUACUGACACUGAGGAACGAAAGCAUGGGUAGCGAAGAGGAUUAGAUACCCUCGUAGUCCAUGCCGUAAACGAUGUGUGUUAGACGUUGGAAAUUUAUUUUCAGUGUCGCAGCGAAAGCGAUAAACACACCGCC
RNAcentral lists this ribosomal RNA (767 nucleotides) under alpha proteobacterium SCGC AAA001-F11. RNAcentral describes it as "SSU rRNA". It matches the Rfam family "Bacterial small subunit ribosomal RNA", at positions 57 to 873 of the family's 1533-position model. Lineage: Bacteria; Pseudomonadati; Pseudomonadota; Alphaproteobacteria. The record is from RNAcentral.